This 269-nucleotide ribosomal RNA is filed under the name uncultured Carnobacteriaceae bacterium. RNAcentral's name for it is "partial 16S ribosomal RNA". It matches the Rfam family "Bacterial small subunit ribosomal RNA", at positions 78 to 339 of the family's 1533-position model. Lineage: Bacteria; Bacillati; Bacillota; Bacilli; Lactobacillales; Carnobacteriaceae. The record is from RNAcentral.
UUGCAGAUGACUGAUUAGUAGCGAACGGGUGAGUAACACGUGGGAAAUCUACCCAUGAGUGGGGAAUAACAUUCGGAAACGGAUGCUAAUACCGCAUAAGUUCUUUGACCUCCUGGUCUUUGAAUAAAAGACGGCCUUUGUGCUGUCACUCAUGGAUGAUCCCGCGGCGUAUUAGUUAGUUGGUGAGGUAAUGGCUCACCAAGACCAUGAUACGUAGCCGACCUGAGAGGGUGAUCGGCCACACUGGGACUGAGAACGGCCCAGACUCC